This is an RNA transcript of Drosophila eugracilis, 2873 nucleotides long. It is a transcript of the gene named serine/threonine-protein kinase GG21441, with no coding region annotated. The record is from RefSeq and is a predicted model, not a curated record. NCBI's taxonomy places the organism in Eukaryota, Metazoa, Arthropoda, Insecta, Diptera, Drosophilidae. The transcript has 7 exons.
CAAAGCAUUUUAAUUAAAUAUAUUCGAAUUUUUCUCAACUCUUUAUCGUUUUAUAUUUUUUGCACUUUGUAACCAAUAUUUUGUCGACAGUGGACUCAAUAAGCGAGAAAUUUCGCUUGCUCAAGUUCAUAUGUGCAAAGUUAGCGAUUCAAAACUAAAGUGCAUUUCAAAUUCAUAACUUUCAUCUCGGCUCGAUAUUAUCUUUUUAAACUGUUAUCAUAUAUUAUAACAAGCUUUGGCUGCAGAUGGUGAUGAUAAAUCUCCAAACAACAGUCAAUAAAACUUCCGAGCUGGCUUGACGCUCUACCUGCAUACAUACACACGUCGAAACAUUAUUUUGUGAAAAAGUUCCUGAGUAGUUCCGGACGGCAUCCACCCAAAAUGACAAAUUAUAUACAUUCCAUUGGACUUCUUUCAGCAUGGAAGUACACACAGUAAAGCUAGACAGACUGCUUUGCCCUGGUGCUGUGCAUUCAUCCCUUAAAUCGUCUUCACCAACAGCUUUGCAAAACGUCACACCAAAGAAGACAAUGCCCAAAAAUUCGGUUAACGAGCCUCUAAUCGAAAACCGUAAUAAACCCCAAAAGCAGCAUGAAGCUUUCGAUAGCCACAGUACAGAUUGCGGAAGCCCCAUUUCAGAUCUGGACCAAGAGUUCAGUGAGCCUAGAAAUUUUAGCACGACAGGAGGCAUUAGCAGUCUGGGGAUAUCUGACGGCUCGCUAAGUGGUGCCUCUUCAACUACAUCAGCCACUCUCGGACCCAAAAUUAUAGAAAAUGGUGUCACGAUCGACUCUGACAGUACAACAGAAGGCUUGACCAUUGUAUCCGCCGCGGUCCACAUAAAAAAACGUAUCUCAAGCAACCGAACGCCGACACGCAAAGCGCUUCGGAUCAAAUUCUACCGUAACGGGGAUCGGUUUUACCCAGGUAUAACAAUCCCUGUGUCCAACGAACGGUAUAGAUCAUUUGAAAGUCUCUACGAGGAUCUUACCCGUUUGCUGGAAGAGAAUGUAAAGAUACCAGGUGCAGUGCGCGCCAUUUACAGCAUGUGCGGAAAAAAGAUUACCGCCCUCGAUGAGUUGGAAGAUGGUCAGAGCUACGUUUGUUCAUGCAAUAACGAAAAUUUCAAAAAAGUGGAAUAUAACAUAAACUCCCAGGCUUUGGCUAAUUUGACGUUGGCCAACCAUAGUCGCUGUAACAACCAGCGUUUGACUAAAUAUUAUCGACCCGUUUCUCCCCUGAAAAACGGAUCACUCGCAACUAGCAAUGGGUUAUUCACUGGCUGUAGCGGAGGAGCAUCCAACGUGAGUCCGUCAAAUGCGUCCCGAUUUAUCGAACGUUACACUGUCGUUUAUCCUCGUAUUGUGACACUGAUACGUAGUGGAACAAAGCCACGCCGUAUUAUGCGUUUGCUGUUAAAUAAGCGUAACAGCCCCAGCUUUGAUCACGUACUGACAGCCAUUACACAAGUUGUUCGUCUAGAUACGGGUUAUGUGAGAAAAGUAUUCAGUCUUUCAGGUACAUCAGUAGUUAAGCUCGUUGAUUUUUUUGGCCCGGAUGAUGUUUUCUUUGCAUAUGGCACAGAACGAAUUAACACUGCAGAAGAUUUUAAAUUAGAGGUAGAGGAGCAGCGAGCUAUUAAUGCCAUACGCAAGACUCUGCGUACAGCGGGGACUACGUGCAAGGGACCAAAGCCCAAGAUGCCUAUCAAAAGCAAAAAAGUUUUUCCGCUAGUUGAUGCCGAUGCAUUGAAAGCUGCUCCUGCAACCGAGCACGAUAAGCAGGCGGCGUUACUUAAGAGCUCUGGCAUAGAGAUAGGUGACUUGCCAGCUGUCAUUGGUGACAGUUAUACAUUGGGACAAAUUAUCGGCGAUGGCAACUUUGCUAUUGUCCUGAAAAUCAAGCACCGUCGAACGGGAGAUUUUUUUGCACUUAAAAUAAUAGAUAAAAGCAAAUGUAAAGGUAAGGAACACUAUAUGGAUGCUGAAGUUCGAGUAAUGAAGAAGUUAGAUCAUCCUCAUAUAAUUUCUCUGAUAAUGGAUGUUGACCAACUUACAAAUAUGUAUCUGGUUUUGCAGUAUGUAAGUGGUGGCGAUCUGUUUGAUGCAAUAACUCAGGUAACGCGUUUUUCGGAAAGUCAGUCGCGCAUUAUGAUUAGGCAUUUGGGGUCAGCCAUGUCUUACCUACAUUCCAUGGGCAUUGUGCACAGAGAUAUUAAGCCGGAAAAUCUCCUGGUGGAACUGGAUAAACAUGGAAACGUAGUUGAGUUAAAGCUAGCUGAUUUUGGAUUAGCUUGUGAGGUAAAGGAACUUCUGUAUGCCGUCUGUGGUACACCUACUUAUGUCGCACCAGAAAUAUUGUUAGAGGCCGGAUAUGGCUUAAAGAUCGAUGUGUGGGCUGCUGGUAUCAUUUUGUAUAUACUGCUGUGCGGGUUUCCACCUUUUGUAGCGCCUGACAACCAGCAGGAACCACUGUUCGACGCCAUUAUCUCUGGAAUUUACGAGUUUCCCGACCCGUACUGGUCGGAUGUAGGCGAUGGUGUCCGAGAUCUAAUAGCCAAUAUGCUGCAGUCGGAUCCGGAUGUUCGCUUUACAAGCGAAGACAUUCUUGAUCACUUUUGGACUAUGGAAAGUGAUGGGGACAAAUCCUAGCUUUGCAGGACCGAUUAAUAAAUCCCCUCCACAACUUACAAGAUUUUAUCCCCGAGAACGCUAUACGACAGGAACUAAACUUGACCAUCGAACAAUUUUGGCGAAAACGAACACAAGCAUUUCAUAAAUUCCAAUAUUCAAACCGUUAAACCGUUUUGAUUUAGAAAUUGUAUUACACUGUAAUUUAUUUAUUUGUAUACAUUAAAUUGUUUUUACGCUAAA